UGUAUACAGGUGAUGCAGAACUAACUAUAUCAAUAAGUACAGUACAGUACUGUAAAGUAUUUUCUCCUUCCAAUUUUCUUAGUAACAUUUUCUUUUCUCUAGCUUA
Molecule: non-coding RNA, 106 nt
Organism: Vicugna pacos (alpaca)
Lineage: Eukaryota; Metazoa; Chordata; Mammalia; Artiodactyla; Camelidae
Source: RefSeq, a predicted model, not a curated record